RNAcentral lists this ribosomal RNA (460 nucleotides) under uncultured bacterium. RNAcentral's name for it is "partial 16S ribosomal RNA". It matches the Rfam family "Bacterial small subunit ribosomal RNA", at positions 338 to 795 of the family's 1533-position model. The record is from RNAcentral.
CCUACGGGUGGCAGCAGUGAGGAAUAUUGGUCAAUGGACGAGAGUCUGAACCAGCCAAGUAGCGUGAAGGAUGACUGCCCUAUGGGUUGUAAACUUCUUUUAUAUGGGAAUAAAACAAGGCACGGGUGCCUUCUUGUAUGUACCAUAUGAAUAAGGAUCGGCUAACUCCGUGCCAGCAGCCGCGGUAAUACGGAGGAUCCGAGCGUUAUCCGGAUUUAUUGGGUUUAAAGGGAGCGUAGGUGGGUUGUUAAGUCAGUUGUGAAAGUUUGCGGCUCAACCAUAAAAUUGCAAUUGAAACUGGCAGUCUUGAGUACAGUAGAGGUAGGCGGAAUUCGUGGUGUAGCGGUGAAAUGCUUAGAUAUCACGAAGAACCCCGAUUGCGAAGGCAGCUUACUGGACUGCGACUGACACUGAUGCUCGAAAGUGUGGGUAUCAAACAGGAUUAGAUACCCCAGUAGUC